Molecule: ribosomal RNA, 253 nt
Filed under: uncultured bacterium
Lineage: Bacteria
Description: partial 16S ribosomal RNA
Rfam family: Bacterial small subunit ribosomal RNA
Source: RNAcentral
UACGGGGGGGGCAAGCGUUGUUCGGAAUUACUGGGCGUAAAGGGCUCGUAGGCGGCCAACUAAGUCGGACGUGAAAUCCCCAGGCUCAACCUGGGAACUGCGUCCGAUACUGGAUGGCUUGAAUCCGGGAGAGGGAUGCAGAAUUCCAGGUGUAGCGGUGAAAUGCGUAGAUAUCUGGAGGAACACCGGUGGCGAAGGCGGCCCUCUGGACGGUGACUGACGCUGAGACGCGAAAGCGUGGGGAGCAAACAGG